RNAcentral lists this transfer RNA (96 nucleotides) under Ralstonia pickettii. Its description in RNAcentral is "tRNA-Ser(gga)". Lineage: Bacteria; Pseudomonadati; Pseudomonadota; Betaproteobacteria; Burkholderiales; Burkholderiaceae. The record is from RNAcentral.
GACGAGAGCGCCCCGAACAGGUCGGGGCGCUUUGCGUUGGAGGUGCAACGGUGUGCUUCAGGUGACGGUCAACGUUCCAUUCAUCGUCUCGUGGCC